AUGCUUGCCAGCAGAAUCUUUUGCCUCGGAACGUUCUCUGGAAUCAUUAUCUGCCAUAAGCCUGCUAUUAAUAUCUGAUUCCUUCUUACUAUCUACUGUAUGCAGCAAGUUGUCUGCAAUUUCAGACUGAAGAGCCACAGAGAUCUUCUCCAUAUCAAAGUUGUUGCUGGAUGGGCACUUUAUGUGAGACGGCUUUUGUGGUAUACCACUACUUGCACUGGUUGCAGAAACAGAUUCCCUUCUACAAGUAUCCAAUUUCUUCUCCUCUGGAAUAUCACGAGGUACCACACUGGGGACGACAAAUGAUUUACCUACUGGCAAUCCAUUAAUUUUUGCAGGUAAACCUACAACAGAAUUAAGCUUCUGACUCAACUGAUUCUUGUUUUCCUUAGAAUUUAAAGGAGGAACCACUUUUGGAGAAGGAGAAGUAACUUUCUUAAUGGUUACAGGAUUUUCACAGUCCACAUAUAUAUUCUUUAUUUCCUUGGAAUCAAUA
Molecule: unclassified non-coding RNA, 496 nt
Filed under: Hevea brasiliensis (rubber tree)
Lineage: Eukaryota; Viridiplantae; Streptophyta; Magnoliopsida; Malpighiales; Euphorbiaceae
Source: RNAcentral